Molecule: long non-coding RNA, 475 nt
Filed under: Hordeum vulgare
Lineage: Eukaryota; Viridiplantae; Streptophyta; Magnoliopsida; Poales; Poaceae
Description: long non-coding RNA (HVUL_LNC007865)
Source: RNAcentral
UGCGUGGCUUGUUCCUUUUGUUGGAUUCCAUCGAUCGAUUGGAGCGUUGGUUGGUUACCUGCCCGUGAUCUGCGGAUUAUGUUUUUCCAUGCAUGCAUAACUAACCGUUGUUCUGUUGGUCGUUUUCAGGGGUUAAAACUGACAGGAACGGAGCGGAAUUAUUCCUCCGUCUAAUCAGACGCGCGUAAAAGGCGAAUGGCAAGAUCAACUGAUAUUUACAUCCUACUUACCUCCAGGGAAAUGAGCUGCGAUGAUGUGAUCGGUUCGAAUCCGAUCGUGGGGACAUACAGGAGCGUGGCCCGGCUGAUGAAACGCACGAAUCAGGCACUUGAGCAGAGGUCGACACUUGACACUCCACUCCACAGCACCGCUUAAUUUGUCAUUGUAGGUUGUUGCUUUGCUUCCACCCAGUGGUAGCUACAGAGGCCUGUCAAGUGGAGCGCCACUUGGGUAUGUAUGUAUGUAUCUCUCUCAA